CGGUACGUACUGGCAUCGUCGGUUUCUCCCUUCUGACGAACCAUGAUGUCAUUUAUUUGGUGUUGUGGGGAAUCAGGACUGUUACUUUGAAAAAAUUAGAGUCGUUUAAAGCAGGCUCACGCUUGAAUACAUUAGCAUGGAAUAAUGAAAUAGGGCGUUUUGAUUCUAUUUUGUUGGUUUCUAGGAUCGACGUAAUGAUUAAUAGGGAUAGUUGGGGGCAUUAGUAUUCAAUUGUCAGAGGUGAAAUUCUUGGAUUUAUUGAAGACUAACUACUGCGAAAGCAUUUGCCAAGGAUGUUUUCAUUAAUCAAGAACGAAAGUUAGGGGAUCGAAGACGAUCAGAUACCGUCGUAGUCUUAACCAUAAACUAUGCCGACUAGGGAUCGGAUGAUGUUAAUUUUUUAAUGACUC
RNAcentral lists this ribosomal RNA (410 nucleotides) under uncultured Glomeromycotina. Its description in RNAcentral is "SSU rRNA". It matches the Rfam family "Eukaryotic small subunit ribosomal RNA", at positions 671 to 1077 of the family's 1831-position model. Lineage: Eukaryota; Fungi; Glomeromycota. The record is from RNAcentral.